Molecule: ribosomal RNA, 496 nt
Filed under: uncultured bacterium
Lineage: Bacteria
Description: partial 16S ribosomal RNA
Rfam family: Bacterial small subunit ribosomal RNA
Source: RNAcentral
GAUGAACGCUGGCGGCGUGCCUAAUACAUGCCAGUCGAGCGAACAGACGAGGAGCUUGCUCCUCUGACGUUAGCGGCGGACGGGUGAGUAACACGUGGAUAACCUACCUAUAAGACUGGGAUAACUUCGGGAAACCGGAGCUAAUACCGGAUAAUAUAUUGAACCGCAUGGUUCAAUAGUGAAAGACGGUUUUGCUGUCACUUAUAGAUGGAUCCGCGCCGCAUUAGCUAGUUGGUAAGGUAACGGCUUACCAAGGCGACGAUGCGUAGCCGACCUGAGAGGGUGAUCGGCCACACUGGAACUGAGACACGGUCCAGACUCCUACGGGAGGCAGCAGUAGGGAAUCUUCCGCAAUGGGCGAAAGCCUGACGGAGCAACGCCGCGUGAGUGAUGAAGGUCUUCGGAUCGUAAAACUCUAUUAUUAGGGAAGAACAAAUGUGUAAGUAACUAUGCACGUCUUGACGGUACCUAAUCAGAAAGCCACGGCUAACUACGU